This 361-nucleotide ribosomal RNA is filed under the name Lactobacillus acidophilus. Its description in RNAcentral is "bacterial SSU rRNA". It matches the Rfam family "Bacterial small subunit ribosomal RNA", at positions 228 to 581 of the family's 1533-position model. The record is from RNAcentral. Lineage: Bacteria; Bacillati; Bacillota; Bacilli; Lactobacillales; Lactobacillaceae.
GCCCCGCGGAGCAUUAGCUAGUUGGUAGGGUAACGGCCUACCAAGGCAAUGAUGCAUAGCCGAGUUGAGAGACUGAUCGGCCACAUUGGGACUGAGACACGGCCCAAACUCCUACGGGAGGCAGCAGUAGGGAAUCUUCCACAAUGGACGAAAGUCUGAUGGAGCAACGCCGCGUGAGUGAAGAAGGUUUUCGGAUCGUAAAGCUCUGUUGUUGGUGAAGAAGGAUAGAGGUAGUAACUGGCCUUUAUUUGACGGUAAUCAACCAGAAAGUCACGGCUAACUACGUGCCAGCAGCCGCGGUAAUACGUAGGUGGCAAGCGUUGUCCGGAUUAAAAGGGCGUAAAGCGAGCGGAGGCGGAAG